AUACUCAUGUGAUCGCUGUAUAGUAUACAGAGGAAAGUCCAUGCUCACACAAACUGCGAUGUUUGUAGUGUUCGUGCUUGACGAAAUCAUAAGUCAAGGUAACCAUUUUGGUUAACGGCAGGCCAACUACCUACGUCCUGUAAUUGGAUAUGGAAGCGGCCUUGAAAGUGCCACAGUGACGAAGCUGAUUGGGAAACCUUUCAGGUGGAACGAGGUAAACCCCGCGAGUGAGCAACCCAAAUAAUGGUAGGGGCAUCUUCUAGUAGGGAACAGGAACCGAACGAAGGACAAGCUAAG
RNAcentral lists this RNase P RNA (297 nucleotides) under Virgibacillus pantothenticus. Its description in RNAcentral is "Bacterial RNase P class B". It matches the Rfam family "Bacterial RNase P class B", at positions 1 to 299 of the family's 365-position model. Rfam says of the family: Ribonuclease P (RNase P) is a ubiquitous endoribonuclease, found in archaea, bacteria and eukarya as well as chloroplasts and mitochondria. Its best characterised activity is the generation of mature 5'-ends of tRNAs by cleaving the 5'-leader elements of precursor-tRNAs. Cellular RNase Ps are ribonucleoproteins. Lineage: Bacteria; Bacillati; Bacillota; Bacilli; Caryophanales; Bacillaceae. The record is from RNAcentral.